Molecule: ribosomal RNA, 244 nt
Filed under: uncultured Staphylococcus sp.
Lineage: Bacteria; Bacillati; Bacillota; Bacilli; Caryophanales; Staphylococcaceae
Description: partial 16S ribosomal RNA
Rfam family: Bacterial small subunit ribosomal RNA
Source: RNAcentral
CGGCGGACGGGUGAGUAACACGUGGAUAACCUACCUAUAAGACUGGGAUAACUUCGGGAAACCGGAGCUAAUACCGGAUAAUAUAUUGAACCGCAUGGUUCAAUAGUGAAAGACGGUUUUGCUGUCACUUAUAGAUGGAUCCGCGCCGCAUUAGCUAGUUGGUAAGGUAACGGCUUACCAAGGCAACGAUGCGUAGCCGACCUGAGAGGGUGAUCGGCCACACUGGAAAUGAGACACGGUCCAG